This is an RNA transcript of Mus musculus (house mouse), 5066 nucleotides long. It is a transcript of the gene named endothelin converting enzyme-like 1, with no coding region annotated. The record is from RefSeq and is marked validated. The transcript is spliced from 19 exons. Lineage: Eukaryota; Metazoa; Chordata; Mammalia; Rodentia; Muridae.
GGGCGGCGCGGCGCGGCGGCAGAGGCGGCGGGCGCACGAAGAGAGCCGCAGCCAGCCCAGCUCCUCUCCGGCUGAGGCCGGGAUUUGCUCCCGACCCCUCCCUCGGUCCUCGCCCGGCCCAGACGCGCACCUGCCGGCUGCGACCGAGGGCCAUGUGGGCUCCGACCAGAAAGCCCGCAGACAGAAGCAGCCUAUAAUCGACCAAACAAGGGGUCUGCAGCCAAAGCCUCGGCACAAUGGAGGCCCCGUAUUCCAUGACAGCGCACUACGACGAGUUCCAGGAAGUCAAGUAUGUGAGCCGGUGUGGCACCGGGGGCGCUCGAGGGACCUCACUGCCUCCAGGCUUCCCGAGGGGCUCAGGGCGCAGUGCUAGCGGGUCCAGGUCUGGGCUGCCCCGCUGGAAUCGACGCGAGGUGUGCCUGCUGUCGGGGUUGGUGUUUGCUGCCGGCCUCUGCGCCAUCCUGGCGGCCAUGCUGGCGCUCAAAUACCUGGGCCCGGGAGCGGCGGGCGGUGGCGGAGCCUGUCCCGAGGGCUGCCCCGAGCGCAAGGCCUUUGCACGCGCCGCCCGCUUUCUGUCUGCCAACCUGGACGCCAGCAUCGACCCGUGCCAGGACUUCUACUCGUUCGCGUGCGGAGGCUGGCUGCGGCGCCACGCUAUCCCCGACGACAAGCUCACCUACGGCACGAUCGCGGCCAUCGGAGAGCAGAACGAGGAGCGUCUGCGGCGCCUGCUGGCGAGACCCACCGGAGGCCCCGGCGGCGCUGCGCAGCGCAAGGUGCGCGCCUUCUUCCGCUCGUGCCUCGACAUGCGCGAGAUCGAGAGGCUCGGGCCGCGGCCCAUGCUCGAGGUCAUCGAGGACUGCGGCGGCUGGGACCUGGGCGGCGCGGCCGAUCGCCCCGGGGCGGCUCGCUGGGACCUCAACCGACUGCUGUACAAGGCACAGGGUGUGUACAGCGCGGCCGCGCUCUUCUCGCUUACAGUCAGCCUGGACGACAGGAACUCCUCGCGCUACGUCAUCCGCAUUGACCAGGAUGGGCUCACCCUGCCAGAGAGAACCCUGUACCUAGCUCAAGACGAGGAGAGUGAGAAGAUCUUGGCUGCAUACAGGGUGUUCAUGCAGCGUCUACUCAGACUACUGGGAGCGGACGCUGUGGAGCAGAAGGCGCAGGAAAUCCUUCAGCUGGAACAGAGGCUGGCCAAUAUCUCUGUGUCAGAAUAUGAUGAUCUCCGUCGUGAUGUCAGCUCCGCGUACAACAAAGUGACUCUGGGGCAGCUGCAGAAGAUCAUCCCCCAUUUGCAGUGGAAGUGGCUGCUGGAUCAGAUCUUCCAGGAAGACUUCUCGGAGGAGGAGGAGGUGGUGCUGCUGGCCACAGACUACAUGCAGCAGGUGUCCCAGCUCAUCCGCUCCACACCUCGAAGGAUCCUGCACAACUACCUAGUGUGGCGUGUGGUGGUGGUUCUGAGUGAGCACCUGUCCUCACCAUUCCGAGAGGCACUGCAUGAGCUGGCCAAAGAGAUGGAGGGCAAUGACAAGCCCCAGGAGUUGGCCCGAGUCUGCCUGGGCCAGGCCAACCGCCACUUCGGCAUGGCUCUUGGUGCCCUCUUUGUACAUGAACACUUCUCAGCUGCCAGUAAAGCCAAGGUGCAGCAGCUAGUGGAAGAUAUCAAGUACAUCUUGGGCCAGCGCCUGGAGGAGCUGGACUGGAUGGAUGCCCAGACCAAGGCAGCUGCUCGGGCCAAGCUCCAGUACAUGAUGGUCAUGGUUGGCUAUCCAGACUUCCUGCUGAAACCUGAGGCUGUAGACAAAGAAUAUGAGUUCGAGGUCCACGAGAAGACCUACUUCAAGAACAUUUUGAACAGCAUCCGAUUCAGUAUCCAGUUGUCCGUCAAAAAGAUUCGACAGGAGGUGGACAAAUCCUCGUGGCUCCUCCCACCACAGGCGCUCAAUGCCUACUAUCUGCCCAACAAGAAUCAAAUGGUCUUCCCAGCUGGCAUCCUGCAGCCCACCCUGUAUGACCCAGACUUCCCACAGUCUCUGAACUACGGGGGUAUUGGCACCAUCAUUGGGCACGAACUGACCCAUGGCUAUGACGACUGGGGGGGACAGUAUGACCGCUCAGGAAACCUGUUGCACUGGUGGACUGAGACCUCCUACAGCCACUUUCUGCGCAAGGCCGAGUGCAUCGUUCGCCUCUAUGACAACUUCACCGUCUACAACCAGCGCGUGAAUGGGAAACACACACUUGGCGAGAACAUCGCAGACAUGGGAGGCCUCAAGCUGGCCUACUAUGCCUAUCAGAAGUGGGUCCGGGAGCAUGGCCCGGAGCACCCGCUGCACCGGCUCAAGUACACACACAACCAGCUUUUCUUCAUUGCCUUUGCACAGAACUGGUGCAUCAAGCGACGGUCACAGUCCAUCUACCUGCAGGUGCUGACAGACAAGCAUGCACCUGAGCACUACCGGGUCCUGGGCAGCGUAUCCCAGUUUGAGGAAUUCGGCCGGGCCUUCCACUGUCCCAAGGACUCUCCCAUGAACCCCGUCCAUAAGUGCUCUGUGUGGUGAGCCUGGCCGUCUGCCUGUCUACCUGCACGUCCCCACUGCCCUGCACGGAUCACCUCUACCAGCUGUGGGGCAACAUGAGCCCCAUGCUUCCUGCUCCGGGUCUAUCUUCCUUCCCAACCUUUAUGUGAUUGUCUUCCCGCCCCCUGCAGUCCUUCACUUAAGCGAGGGCCUGGAGCAGGGGUAAGGCUAGGUUCUGGGGGACACUCGAGGGGGAAUUAUGAGGUCCUCACACCCGGCUCUAGGCAGCUGGACCCCCCUACCGGGGCUGGAUAGGUCCCACUGAUGUGUUCUUGCUGAUUAGUCUGGUCAAUAAAGCUGCUGUACUAUAUAUAGCCUUGGCCUCCAGACAAGUGGAGAUGGAGGGUCCCUCUGGGUGGGACGCUCAGCCCUGUAACACAGAUGGGACACUGGAGAGACAUUAUGGCUCCCUCUGUUUUGGAUGCCUCUGUUUCACCUUUCUGCUAACUCCGGCUUCCUCCCUAGCCAGAUCACCUUCCACCCUCUCUCCCACAGUCAUGAAGGAACUUCCUUUAAGAGCACAGUCCAGCCCUGUGGCCUGCUGAUCUUUUACUUUUAGGGUAGCACAGGCACUUGCUGGCAGUGGAAAUCCAGUUUUUUUUUUUUUUUCAAUGUUCCAGCCAGGCCUUGAUUGCCUCAGCUUCACCUUUGGGAAGGUGACUGGGGCCCCAGGUUCCAUCGACAUGGAGCCAGCCUUCAUAGCAUCUGGCCUUCCACAGUCUGGAGGGAGGGAUGCUAUGUGAGCUAAGUAGUGGUAGGUAAUUAGCUGAGGGACCCCAGACACAACCAGUGGUGGAAAGGAUUCUGCCUGGGCUGCCCACUGGCGCUGCUCAGUUGUGUGUGUGUGGGGGGAGAGGGGGGACGGUACCAGGUGAGAAGAGCACCGUGUUGGGCAGCCUGACGGUCCCUGCGUGUACAAGGAAAGAAGCCAAUGGGCACUGCCUUUCCUCCCAGGUAGUUUUUUUUUUUUUUCUUCCUUCAAUGGCCCAUCUCCACUUCGCCAUGGCAGUCUCUUACCAGUCCAGUGCUGACUGGUGUGCUCAGAGAAUGUCUGACCAGUGUCUCCAGCUUCAGGUGACAUUUAAAAAGUCCUAAUUGUCUCAGCUUGGGCUACAAUAGUGUGGCCCUGAUGAGGGAGCAGGCUCUGAGAAGGAGACCCUGGAGUGGCCAGUCUAGGAGGCCAGUCUUCCUCCUAGUCUAUGGUGAUCACAGAGGAGUCCCAGGUGUUGGGAAAGACUGCAUUGGGCACACAGCCCAGCUCAGAACUGCUUGGCGGGGACAUUUUCAUGGCAUGCGCCUUAGAGGUGAGUCCCACACAGGAAUGGUUUCUAGACCUUCUCACCCGGGCUGGGUACAGGUUACCAUGCCCCUUGGGAAGUUGGAUCAAAGGACACUUGCCUUGACCUGUGAGAUAUUUUGGGGUCCUGAUGUCUGAGACUGCCUCCAUGUCCUCACCCUUCUAGCCUGGGUAUAGGGAGAACUGAGGCUCCAGACCCAGCCUCUAAGUCACUAUCAAGAUUCCCCAGCUGAUGUCCAAUUCCUUCCACCACUGUGGACACCGCUCAGGAAGGCCUCAGGGCAGCAGGCCGGCUCUCCCCACUACAACUCGACCCUGCUGAGGACAUCAGUGUGGUUCUGGGAGAAGACUGUCCCAGCAGGUCGCCUGAGGCCCAGUGUCACCCACUGCUUCCCCACUGUUGUUGCAGGGUCUACGAAGGGGCUUCUUGUGAAACCAGGACGCUCUGGGCUUCGGAACCAGCAGCCUGCUGUUCAGGUUUAGGCCGCUGAACAGCAAUUGAUCUGCAGGAGGUGGUCCUUGGGAGAAUUCAUGGAGAAAAAUCCACCCUUAAUCAUGCUAUUUAUAAUUCCUUCACAUGCUUCGAGGAGGACUCAGGACAAUGAGAAGCUCAGCCCAUCCUCCCCAGGGAGGUCCUUGCUUUAUAAGCUCACUUGUCAUUGUGUUUCGAAGCCCAUGGAUUUGUACGGCAUGUAACUGACUGAGGGACCUUGGCAGCUUUACAGAGGAGCGCCGAUCUCUGUCUCAUCUACCAGGCAGUCAUCGGGCCCUGUCUUCAGUACCAUCAAGGACUGGGGACUCUGUCUCUCUUUCCGGUUGAAAGAAAAGGCUGUCCUGACCCCACCCGGCCUUUCCUACAGUCCUCGUGAUGAGCUGGAGCCCACACUCUGGGCCCUCACCACCGACACCAUAAUUUCUUCCUUUAUCUAAGGCAAACAUAGCCCCCUUCCCUCACGGGUGUUACCCCGUCUCUGCCAACCACCCUCCUCCUUUGUUCUGACUUAUUCAUGGGACAUGAGUUGUGGCUCAUUUGGAGCCUCUGGGAUUGCCUCAGGUGAGGAGCCUCAGCUUUUGUUUCCGUGUAACCUACCUUUGGGGUGUCUUCCUGUAUGCUCCAUGGGUUAUAGCCCCCAUACUCUACUGUCCAUAGAUAGCUGCUGGUGGUAUAAAGGUGAGCAUAGCUGGUU